Molecule: ribosomal RNA, 376 nt
Filed under: uncultured bacterium
Lineage: Bacteria
Description: bacterial SSU rRNA
Rfam family: Bacterial small subunit ribosomal RNA
Source: RNAcentral
AACGUAGGAGACGAGCGUUAUCCGGAUUUACUGGGCGUAAAGCGCGUGCAGGCGGCAUGGCAAGUUGGAUGUGAAAGCUCCCGGCUUAACUGGGAGAGGUCGUUCAAUACUGCCAGGCUUGAGAGUGGUAGAGGGAAGCGGAAUUCCGGGUGUAGUGGUGAAAUGCGUAGAUAUCCGGAGGAACACCAGUGGCGAAAGCGGCUUCCUGGCCCAUUUCUGACGCUCAGACGCGAAAGCUAGGGUAGCAAACGGGAUUAGAGACCCCGGUAGUCCUAGCCGUAAACGAUGUGAACUUGGCGUUGGCGGGUUUAAAUCCGUCAGUGCCGCAGCUAACGCGAUAAGUUCACCGCCUGGGGACUACGGCCGCAAGGUUAAA